AUUGAACGCUGGCGGCAUGCUUUACACAUGCAAGUCGAACGGUAACAGGCCUUCGGGUGCUGACGAGUGGCGAACGGGUGAGUAAUGCAUCGGAACGUGCCCAGAGGUGGGGGAUAACGCAGCGAAAGCUGUGCUAAUACCGCAUGUGAUCUGAGGAUGAAAGCGGGGGACCAAGCAGCAAUGUUUGGCCUCGCGCCUCUGGAGCGGCCGAUGUCAGAUUAGGUAGUUGGUGGGGUAAAGGCCUACCAAGCCGACGAUCUGUAGCUGGUCUGAGAGGACGACCAGCCACACUGGGACUGAGACACGGCCCAGACUCCUACGGGAGGCAGCAGUGGGGAAUUUUGGACAAUGGACGCAAGCCUGAUCCAGCAAUGCCGCGUGCGGGAAGAAGGCCUUCGGGUUGUAAACCGCUUUUGUACGGAACGAAAAGGCUCUGGCUAAUACCUGGGGCUGAUGACGGUACCGUAAGAAUAAGCACCGGCUAACUACGUG
This 492-nucleotide ribosomal RNA is filed under the name uncultured Tepidimonas sp. RNAcentral's name for it is "bacterial SSU rRNA". It matches the Rfam family "Bacterial small subunit ribosomal RNA", at positions 30 to 507 of the family's 1533-position model. Lineage: Bacteria; Pseudomonadati; Pseudomonadota; Betaproteobacteria; Burkholderiales. The record is from RNAcentral.